AAAGGCCACGUACAUAUAACCUUUUACUGCUGACGAUUCUAUGGUAUUCAUAAGCAUCCUAUGUGAUGACGGAAUAUAAAGCGCAUGGCAGAAUCAAGAGAACAUCAGCGGAUGAGAUAAUGAGACAGUUUAACUCUUUCCGAUUAGAAAGUUUCUCCUGAGCCACGCAGUAAUCAGCGUUGCGCGCUCAACAUUGGGCGUCUCACUUACGUGACGCGAGUCCCUCAACGUCGGAAAAUCUCUGUCAAUCAUUGCCGCAAAAGGCAGCUACAUCGAAAAGUUUGUGUUUAUCAGGGUAUUCUAGUCUACAAAUUUGAAAAAAUCGAAAAUCUUUUUUCAUAUUUCCAAAGUUUAGACAUUCAAGAAUAUGCCCUUAAAAGAAUUUUUCAAAAUUUCAAUUUUUAUGAGUUACAGCCAUUUUUGUGAGGCGACAUCUGCUCCGGUCCGACCGGAACAAAUGAACAGU
Molecule: unclassified non-coding RNA, 466 nt
Filed under: Bombus terrestris (buff-tailed bumblebee)
Lineage: Eukaryota; Metazoa; Arthropoda; Insecta; Hymenoptera; Apidae
Description: misc RNA ENSBTSG00005022104.1
Source: RNAcentral